AUUGCCCUAGUAACGGCGAGUGAAGCGGCAACAGCUCAAAUUUGAAAUCUGGCUUCGGCCCGAGUUGUAAUUUGCAGAGGAUGUUUCUGGCGCGGUGCCUUCCGAGUUCCCUGGAACGGGACGCCACAGAGGGUGAGAGCCCCGUAUGGUCGGACACCAAGCCUGUGUGAAACUCCUUCGACGAGUCGAGUAGUUUGGGAAUGCUGCUCUAAAUGGGAGGUAAAUCUCUUCUAAAGCUAAAUACCGGCCAGAGACCGAUAGCGCACAAGUAGAGUGAUCGAAAGAUGAAAAGCACCUUGAAAAGGGGGUUAAAUAGUACGUGAAAUUGUUGAAAGGGAAGCACUUAUGACCAGACUUGGGCCGGGCGGCUCAUCAGGGGUUCUCCCCUGUGCACUCCGCCCGGCACAGGCCAGCAUCGGUUUUCGCGGGGGGAUAAGACCGACGGGAACGUAGCACCCUCCGGGGUGUGUUAUAGCCCGGCGGACGAUACCCUCGCGGGGACCGAGGUCCGCGCUCCGCAAGGAUGCUGGCGUAAUGGUCAUCAGUGACCCGUCUUGAAACACGGACCAAGGAGUCGUCCAUUAGAGCGAGCGUUUGGGUGUAAAACCCGCACGCGUAAUGAAAGUGAACGCAGGUGAGAGCUUCGGCGCAUCAUCGACCGAUCCUGAUGUUCUCGGAAGGAUUUGAGUAAGAGUUUUAACGGACGGACCCGAAAGACAGUGAACUAUGCUUGUAUAGGGUGAAGCCAGAGGAAACUCUGGUGGAGGCUCGCAGCGGUUCUGACGUGCAAAUCGAUCGUCAAAUAUGAGCAUGGGGGCGAAAGACUAAUCGAACU
Molecule: ribosomal RNA, 835 nt
Filed under: Diaporthe tectonendophytica
Lineage: Eukaryota; Fungi; Ascomycota; Sordariomycetes; Diaporthales; Diaporthaceae
Description: eukaryotic LSU rRNA
Rfam family: Eukaryotic large subunit ribosomal RNA
Source: RNAcentral